Molecule: ribosomal RNA, 464 nt
Filed under: Vreelandella stevensii
Lineage: Bacteria; Pseudomonadati; Pseudomonadota; Gammaproteobacteria; Oceanospirillales; Halomonadaceae
Description: partial 16S ribosomal RNA
Rfam family: Bacterial small subunit ribosomal RNA
Source: RNAcentral
CCUACGGGAGGCAGCAGUGGGGAAUAUUGGACAAUGGGCGAAAGCCUGAUCCAGCCAUGCGCGUGUGUGAAGAAGGCCUUCGGGUUGUAAAGCACUUUCAGUGGGGAAGAAAGCCUUGGGGCUAAUACCCUCGAGGAAGGACAUCACCCACAGAAGAAGCACCGGCUAACUCCGUGCCAGCAGCCGCGGUAAUACGGAGGGUGCGAGCGUUAAUCGGAAUUACUGGGCGUAAAGCGCGCGUAGGCGGUCUGAUAAGCCGGUUGUGAAAGCCCCGGGCUCAACCUGGGAACGGCAUCCGGAACUGUCAGGCUAGAGUGCAGGAGAGGAAGGUAGAAUUCCCGGUGUAGCGGUGAAAUGCGUAGAGAUCGGGAGGAAUACCAGUGGCGAAGGCGGCCUUCUGGACUGACACUGACGCUGAGGUGCGAAAGCGUGGGUAGCAAACAGGAUUAGAUACCCGAGUAGUC